GGUCUUAUAUUCAAAAAUGAUAUAAAAUUGCAAAUUUUAAGGAGCAGAAAUUAUAUGCUAAGACUU
RNAcentral lists this transfer RNA (66 nucleotides) under Nola angustipennis. Its description in RNAcentral is "tRNA-Cys". Lineage: Eukaryota; Metazoa; Arthropoda; Insecta; Lepidoptera; Nolidae. The record is from RNAcentral.